UGGGGAAUAUUGGACAAUGGGCGAAAGCCUGAUCCAGCCAUGCCGCGUGUGUGAAGAAGGUCUUCGGAUUGUAAAGCACUUUAAGUUGGGAGGAAGGGCAGUAAGCGAAUACCUUGCUGUUUUGACGUUACCGACAGAAUAAGCACCGGCUAACUCUGUGCCAGCAGCCGCGGUAAUACAGAGGGUGCAAGCGUUAAUCGGAAUUACUGGGCGUAAAGCGCGCGUAGGUGGUUCGUUAAGUUGAAUGUGAAAGCCCCGGGCUCAACCUGGGAACUGCAUCCAAAACUGGCGGGCUAGAGUAGGGCAGAGGGUGGUGGAAUUUCCUGUGUAGCGGUGAAAUGCGUAGAUAUAGGGAGGAACACCAGUGGCGAAGGCGACCACCUGGGCUCAUACUGACACUGAGGUGCGAAAGCGUGGGGAGCAAACAGG
RNAcentral lists this ribosomal RNA (429 nucleotides) under Pseudomonadota bacterium. RNAcentral describes it as "Proteobacteria bacterium partial 16S ribosomal RNA". It matches the Rfam family "Bacterial small subunit ribosomal RNA", at positions 355 to 776 of the family's 1533-position model. Lineage: Bacteria; Pseudomonadati; Pseudomonadota. The record is from RNAcentral.